UUGAACGCUGGCGGCAGGCCUAACACAUGCAAGUCGAGCGGAUGAAGGGAGCUUGCUCCUGGAUUCAGCGGCGGACGGGUGAGUAAUGCCUAGGAAUCUGCCUGGUAGUGGGGGAUAACGCCCGGAAACGGGCGCUAAUACCGCAUACGUCCUGAGGGAGAAAGCGGGGGAUCUUCGGACCUCACGCUAUCAGAUGAGCCUAGGUCGGAUUAGCUAGUUGGUGGGGUAAAGGCCUACCAAGGCGACGAUCCGUAACUGGUCUGAGAGGAUGAUCAGUCACACUGGAACUGAGACACGGUCCAGACUCCUACGGGAGGCAGCAGUGGGGAAUAUUGGACAAUGGGCGAAAGCCUGAUCCAGCCAUGCCGCGUGUGUGAAGAAGGUCUUCGGAUUGUAAAGCACUUUAAGUUGGGAGGAAGGGCAGUAAGUUAAUACCUUGCUGUUUUGACGUUACCAACAGAAUAAGCACCGGCUAACUUCGUG
This 483-nucleotide ribosomal RNA is filed under the name uncultured bacterium. RNAcentral describes it as "partial 16S ribosomal RNA". It matches the Rfam family "Bacterial small subunit ribosomal RNA", at positions 30 to 507 of the family's 1533-position model. The record is from RNAcentral.